Cyprinus carpio carpio is the source of this 1644-nucleotide long non-coding RNA. Lineage: Eukaryota; Metazoa; Chordata; Actinopteri; Cypriniformes; Cyprinidae. The record is from Ensembl.
CAAAUUCACAAAAAGUUUACUUUUAGUGGUAACACAGCUUGUCAGUGGGAUAUUUACUCUCAAAUCACUGUUACCUGACAGUGAAAAUUAUAAAUAGUCUACAAAUCACUCAUGGGGAAAUGGCAAAUAGACAGAGCUCUGCUAAUGGUAACUUGUUAAAGAAAAAAAAAUCUACAGAUGCAUUUAAAAUCUACUGUAUAAAGAAUAAUUAAUAUUAUGCAACAGGGACACGUUACAUCCACAUAACUAUUAAUUAAUAAUAAUAAUAUAUCUCUGUAAAUGUGUCACAGGCGGGAAAAGGUCUGCGGUUUUUAGUGAACAUAACCGGCCAAAAAAAUUCUUAAAACGGUUAGGCCUAAGUCAGUAUUCACGCGGCAGCCCAAUUUUACACCAAAAAAAGAAACGUCAUUUCACAAAUUACACACAGAGACAUUUAAGUGUGUCUGGAAAUAGAUUUUUCUCAAAGUUUGAGCCGCAAUAUCAUGCUUAGGCCUAUUGUAAACUAACAGCGCCAGUCUGUAAAGCAUUGGCUAGGUUUGGAAGUUGGGUGAUUUGAACUUAAACGCAUUUAUACCUUGUCCAUCCAUAUAAAAAAUAAAACAUUUAACAGACAAUAAAGCAAAAUUUACAGGCGCAUUAUAGAUGAACUUACCAGCGUACUCCUGUGGCCUUACGACUCUUCCCCCCUCCUCGUCUGCUUCAUGUCCGCCUGCCUGCUACUGGCCCUGCGGGAGGAAAAUGGGAAAUUCAGAUGUUCUUACAGAAAGUUAGUAACACAAACGUGUUUAUAACUCGAAAAUACUCGAAGGCAGCUAAGCACAAUUUAAAUAUAUAUUUUACCAUUAUUCUACCUACCAGCGUACUUUCACGACGACUCUCUUCCCGCCUGCUUUACCGCCUGUCUGGCUGCUUGUGCUGCUGGCCCGCUGCCAGAGUAAAACGGUGGUUCUGCAAAUGACUCUGGCCUGCAGUCAGUCCUGCGUCUUCAGCAAAUACGACAAAAAGUUCCCGCCUUGUGUUAUAUUGGCCAAUCGGUGCUGUUGUCAAGGCAGAAUUUCAAGCGCGACCAAUAAUUUUUAAACAGAGACGUAGCGAAUAAUUUAAAUAAAUGGAAAUUCUGAGUUUAUAACACUUAAAAUCUUAAUUCAAAAGAUUUUUACUGCCAGUGAGUAAGUUAAACACAUCUGUUUAAGUUUUGAUGGCAAAAGUGUGUGUUAUAAGUAAUGUGAAGUUAUGUUAACUUGGUUUCUUUAUUAACGACAACAUUAGGGUUUACAGUGUGACAUCACUUACAAGGAGCGCAAAUUAACUGAAUCUAGCACUAGUUCAAGCGUGUUUUUAUCUUUCAUGGUAAACAAAUAUUGAUAAAAAUUGUUCUGUGGUUUCAGGAGUGAUGAUAUAAUCUCUCUACAACAGAAGAGAAGCUCCAAAAUUUCAAAGUUUCUGAAGGGAGCUGCUGACAGAAAUGCAGGAAACACAGAUGGGAUGAGAAAGCUCUUUAAAUACAUUCAUAUGCAUUUUCUCACAACACAUUUUCUUAUAUUACCAUGCAUCCAUUAUAUUACAGUAAUUUAUAAAGGUUUUAACAUUAAAAGAAGUGUGACACAAACCUAAAAACAUUAAUGUUAAUGCUGUUAUUUUAAG